GAGUUUGAUCUUGGCUCAGAACGAACGCUGGCGGCAGGCCUAACACAUGCAAGUUGAACGAUGUAGCAAUACAGAGUAGCGCACGGGUGCGUAACGCGUGGGAAUAUCCCCUUGACUACGGAACAACGUCGGGAAACUGACGCUAAUACCGUAUAAUGUCUUCGGACCAAAGAUUUAUCGGUCAAGGAUUAGCCCGCGUCUGAUUAGCUAGUUGGUGAGGUAACGGCUCACCAAGGCGACGAUCAGUAGCUGGUCUGAGAGGAUGAUCAGCCACACUGGGACUGAGACACGGCCCAGACUCCUACGGGAGGCAGCAGUGAGGAAUAUUGGACAAUGGGGGAAACCCUGAUCCAGCCAUGCCGCGUGAGUGAUGAAGGCCUUCGGUUGUAAGCUCUUUUAGUCGUUGACGAUGAUGACGGU
Molecule: ribosomal RNA, 420 nt
Filed under: uncultured Alphaproteobacteria bacterium
Lineage: Bacteria; Pseudomonadati; Pseudomonadota; Alphaproteobacteria
Description: bacterial SSU rRNA
Rfam family: Bacterial small subunit ribosomal RNA
Source: RNAcentral